This 839-nucleotide long non-coding RNA is filed under the name Takifugu rubripes (torafugu). RNAcentral describes it as "lncRNA (ENSTRUG00000030363.1)". The record is from RNAcentral. Lineage: Eukaryota; Metazoa; Chordata; Actinopteri; Tetraodontiformes; Tetraodontidae.
AUUUUGUUUCACCUUGAUUGAAUCAGUUUCGAUUUGCAGGAAAGCAAAUGCACUGAUUAGCUGAGGCUCGUCUCUCUUUAUGGGCGAGGGCCAAAAUGACAGUUGACUGUCCCCCCUCUCUGCUAGCUGAGCUAAUGGUACUGUACGUUUGCUGCCACUGCAGGAAACAUGAGAACAUGUGGCACAAACAUCUGUCAGUAUCUCUGCCCCCACCCCAAUUGCACAGGAAUGUUGCACCCAGAUGACAAUGAUGCAUGUUCUUUCUGCAGGGAUUGUCUGGGGUGCCAGGUCAGCCGGGGGAGCCGGGCAAAGAGGGCAAAAGGAACGCGUCGCCUCCACUGACAGCGUUUCCAUGGACGCCGCGUCCGCGUUGACGAGUGAACCAGACGUAUCAUGUAAAGAGAAAGCAUAACCUGAGCCGGUGAAGGAGAGAACUUCUAUGUUUUGUACACUUUAACAACAGUAUAGACCACACAUAACACAGCUUAAUGGACUAAUAUGGUAAAGUUAGAGGAAAAUAAAGUCUCUGACCCUAGAGUAAUUUCCAUAUAUGAAUAAUUCAUAUAGAAUUCUAGUGAAGCAACACUAUGCUACAUCAGUGUUAGUGUUGCAGUACAAUAGUGGUCAUUACAGUACAAUUAAAUAAUAACUAAGGCUCCACAACUUCACCGCAGAAUUUGUUCAUAAUUUAAACUACACCUUUGACGGCAUGCAGGGUGUAUUACAGUUACUGAUGUAACAAGGUAAUAUGAGAGGAGGUGCAUUUCUAUGGAACAAUGCUAAUCCAUUAUGAAUAAAUAAUAAAGCAUUGUGGGCAGCGCAGUGGUUAGUGUGGCGAG